UUCUUGCUACAUCCUCGCGACUAAUGACAAUACUGAAUAUUUUUACUUAACUGAAUAUUUUUACUUAUUUUGUGAAUAUCAGUAUUCUCAUUAGCCGCGCGAACCGGUUGUAGCUAAAGAAGCUCAC
RNAcentral lists this unclassified non-coding RNA (127 nucleotides) under Arsenophonus endosymbiont of Bemisia tabaci Q2. RNAcentral describes it as "SraG". Lineage: Bacteria; Pseudomonadati; Pseudomonadota; Gammaproteobacteria; Enterobacterales; Morganellaceae. The record is from RNAcentral.